This 407-nucleotide ribosomal RNA is filed under the name uncultured bacterium. RNAcentral describes it as "partial 16S ribosomal RNA". It matches the Rfam family "Bacterial small subunit ribosomal RNA", at positions 30 to 526 of the family's 1533-position model. The record is from RNAcentral.
AUCGAACGCUGGCGGCAGGCCUAACACAUGCAAGUCGCGCGGAGCGGCGGACGGGUGAGUAAUGACUAGGAAUCUGCCUGGUAGUGGGGGAUAACGUCCGGAAACGGGCGCCAAUACCGAAUACCAUCAGAUGAGCCUAGGUCGGAUUAGCGAGUUGGUGGGGUAAAGGCCUACCAAGGCGCCGAUCCGUAACUGGUCCGAGAGGAUGAUCAGUCACACUGGAACUUGGACACGGGCCAGACUCCUACGUUGGGCAGCAGUGGGGAAUAUGUGACAAGGGGCGGAAGCCUUAUCCAGCCAUGCCGCGUGUGUGGAGAAGGUCGUCGGAUUGUAAAGCACUUUAAGUUGGGAGGCGUUACCAACAGAAUACGCACCGGCGAACUUCGUGCCAGCAGCCGCGGUAAUAC